This 2727-nucleotide ribosomal RNA is filed under the name Triticum aestivum (bread wheat). RNAcentral describes it as "partial small subunit ribosomal RNA". Lineage: Eukaryota; Viridiplantae; Streptophyta; Magnoliopsida; Poales; Poaceae. The record is from RNAcentral.
UCUGUUGGUUUUAGGGGAAAGAGAUGGCAAGAGAGAUGGCGACACCAAACCUAUCCGCGCCGGUACCCAAUCCGUUCCCUCUCGUGACCUCUUGCGCCGUUAGAUGACCUGGAGCAGUACAUGCCGUCGAUCGACAACACCGCUGCCCAGACCUCCAACCACCGCGCCUCCUCCGCCACUGCGUAGACUGCCUCCCGUGUGACCAAGCGACUCAAGGGCCUACUUGAGCACGUACGACUAGAAGGUUCGGCCAACAUGGUUUAGCUCACCCGACGUUCACGCAACAGAACCUCCGGUAAGGACUGGCUCCGUACCAGGCGCGCCAGUUCGAUGACGACAACGCGGCCAGUGGUCCCUCUGGCGUAGAACGCAGCGAUUAGACCUUUGCGUCUACGGCCAGCGGCCCCUCCAGUGCCCACGCCCCUGUCUCUUGAAACCGCAGCGCAACUUUCCGUACAACAAUGAAAAAGCAGGGUCCGAUUCCUUCUCGUUGUCCUGCUUCCCUCCUUCUGUUCUUUUAAUACUGUUAAAUCAAGUACCAGAUCCUCGUUCCUUUCAUGUGUAGGUAGAAACACUAUAACUAUCCGUAUUAUGAUGUAUGUCUGAGAGAGUUAACACAUCUAUCCAGUAGUUCAUUGCCAAUCGUCAAGUACGAAGACGAAGUGGAAAAUCAAUUAAUAGGCGAAAAUUCAUAAACAACAACUUCACUCGUAGUUUAACGUCCUUAAAACAUUAAGUAGUCAUCUUAAUAGGCGAAGUAAGCGAAAACAAUAUUGCUGUCCGUAAAACAUUGUAGAACGGCUUCACGCGUAAAACAUCUCUAAUAGGCAAAAAUUCAUAAAAUAAAUUACACAGUUAGAGGCCAACAUUAGGAUCUUCCGUCAUUUACACGUGAACACAAAACGAUUACGUUGUCUCAUAGAUACUCUAAUCAUUAAUAGACAUAUUGUACCUUUAAGAAGUCUUGACAUUAAAACUUACUUCGAUAAAAGACUAUAAACUUAGAACGGUUUUUACUUGUACUCACUAUAUUGGGUAUAUUGUUUUGUCUACUAUCAACAGAAACGUUCAACGUGACGUUUCUAACGAAAAAUCACUUCAAUAGGAACCGCCACAAUCUAUUCAUAAUUGCACUGACAAAUGAACCAAUUCUAAUGUAAGUGCAAUAAAGAAGAUUGGAAAAUUAGAGAUAUGUGUCGAUCGAUGUCGAACCCUGUUGACGAUCUUCUUACUUGCCUACUAAGGAGAUGUCGUUGCGGGCUCCAGUCCAAGAUACGCUCACGUCGUCACGACCGCCACAGCCGGUACCAACAUCGUACACGUGAACGGCUCCCAGCUACUCCGAAACUACUACCGCGAUCGUUUCUUCCGUACCUCGUUUACCUCUGCCCCAAGGAAACACUGUUGCAUACCCUCCGACUACCCAAGGGAACCUUCAACCUUGUUACGCUACAACGGCUCUGUCGUGUGACCCAAGGUUAAGGUCAACCUGCUUAUCAUACAUGCACUAAGUAAGUGAGAAAACUAGUAAGGAAUAACGUGCAUGACGUCAACCUCCUAUAUGGUUAUAUUACCUACCUAGAUGAUUUAUAAUUGUACGGUUCAUGCUGUCAUGUACGGUUGAUUGACUCGAUAUAUACCACACUGUGACUGCUAGAUGCGCGAAGGAGGGAUUCACAACAAACGACUGACGGCCCGGAAGGUACCCUACAACACGCGUCUAUUAAAACACCCUUCAGAAUGGCAGGGAUAAAGUAUCUUUUUUUAGGUCCAUACAAUAAAAGACAUAAAAGUUUUUUUACUGUUACUAUCCUUCGAAUCUUCAGCACACAGUACGAAACCUUUAUUUUGAAUGUUGGGGGUAUCAGGUCUUAACAUGACUUGAAACGCACAGUACAUAAAUAUUGGCGUAAACAAAGAGUUCGAAAUCAAUAAUUUGAAAAGAGAUUUUAACAUCUCAAGGUCAAGACUUAUGAUUUGAAACGAAACGUACACAAUUAGAAUUUUUUUGUGUUUAAACUCUUUAUAGUUUACCUUCAAGUGUUGAUUAUCUUUUCAAAUCGAGAAUGUUCUACCAUCCCUAAAGUUUUCAAAAUCGAAGUAGAAAACAAUAAUGUGGUAUACAAUACAGUCACUUAACUCAAUAUAUUACUCGUACCAGAAUAGACAAGUCCAACGACUCAAAACCGGAAUUCCACGUCGUAACUAUUCCUUUAAUACGUAGAAAACUCCAAUGACUAUAAAUUGGUAGAGUACAGAUAGUUAUCACGUAUGUAAUACCAACUAUUUUUAUAGAACGGUACAGUUUACGUAUUACAACAUUAAGGAGGUAAGGUAUUACAUCACGUGGGUGCGAAAAACUCUAUUUCAAACUGGUAUUUAAAUUGAUUGUACCAAUUUAAAUACCAGUUUGAAUUUAGAGCUUUUCGCGACUGCGUGAUGUAAUGCCUUACCUCCCUCAUAUACUAUUCAAACCCACAUCGAGACACAAUCACGGUCAACGAAUAAUACGCGAAUUGGAUAACAUAGAAAAAUGGUGUGUCUAAUUAAUUAAGUUGGACUCCUAUCUGUAGGAGUGAAGUCAAAUUUUAUUAGGUCUUCUUCACACUAAAGAUAAGGUAUAAGUAACUGAAAAGAUUCUGGAUAAUCAUUUAAGUAAUCGAAGAAAUUAGGUCACUAAGACCCAUUUGGCCGCUUCUUAUACUUAUAAUGCAUACAUAUAAUGGG